ACGGGGGGUGCGAGCGUUGUCCGGAAUCACUGGGCGUAAAGGGCGCGUAGGUGGUCUUGUAAGUCUGUGGUGAAAGCCCGGGGCUCAACCCCGGGUCUGCCAUGGAUACUGCGAGACUUGAGUACUGUAGAGGCUGGUAGAAUGCCGGGUGUAGCGGUGGAAUGCGUAGAGAUCCGGCAGAAGACCGGUGGCGAAGGCGGCCAGCUGGGCAGUAACUGACACUGAGGCGCGACAGCGUGGGGAGCAAACAGGA
Molecule: ribosomal RNA, 253 nt
Filed under: uncultured prokaryote
Description: partial 16S ribosomal RNA
Rfam family: Bacterial small subunit ribosomal RNA
Source: RNAcentral